AUUCCGCUGAAUUGACUAGAUGAACUGAGCUUGCUUUUAUAACCCUAUGUCAAAUUUUAAAGCAUAUAUCAGGUAUGAAAGUUAAAAGAACUUACCUUCGUAAGAUGCAGGCAAAUCAACUUCUGAGUCAUUUACCACCACACUUCCCCGCAGUAGUUGGAUAGUUACAGUUGGGAAAAUCACUGUCAGUGAUUUUGUGCAUGAGAAUACUCCAAAUAAUCCACAAGGUUCAUUCACUUGUCUUAUUUCAAAUGUGUUAUUCACACUGUCUUUAGCCAGAAUAUAUUCACAUCUUCCCAUUAAGUCAUAAUGCGUUCCAUCAAAUGUCGAGUAGUGUGGAUCACUUGUUGCUUGACAUGUGGCUUUAACUG
Molecule: non-coding RNA, 371 nt
Organism: Paramuricea clavata
Lineage: Eukaryota; Metazoa; Cnidaria; Anthozoa; Malacalcyonacea; Plexauridae
Source: the annotation of a GenBank genome assembly